GGCUUGGUCUCUCUUAUCUCUUCGUGCGACCAUUACAAAUAUUCUCAAUUUCUGAUGGAUUGUUGAACAAUUGAAGCGCCAUGAUCGUCAGCAUUGCGCUUAGAAAGAAUACAUAGGCUCCUCGACAACGACGAAUCCCGCAGAGGUCCCAUUUAGCUUCCGCAGCAGUACACCUUCAAGCCCUAGCUACGAGAAACAAGUGGUUGUAUGGAUUAAACCAGUGAAAGUCUUAGUGCACACUGCAACACUCUAUGGCGUCAUGCAGUAGGACAAAAAUUAAAAGCCUUCAGGAUCCUCCCAAUGAAAGAAGCUGACCUUCAAGUUUUGCCUGCUGGUAAUCCUUCUUCUACUGUCAAGGUAAUCCUUCUUCCAGAAACUAAUUGGAUGCGCUUGAUAAGAUACAAAAUACCUGCUUGUCUUUGCGGUGCUACUACUGUUCUGUGUAGCAUAUUUAGUUUUGUUUCCAAUUGUUUUCCCUAGUUAUGUCUUGUUCUAAUUUUGUGCCAUUCUGAUAAACGCAGUCGGUAGACUUUUUAUGGAGUUUUUUGGUCCAAAAAUUUCAGUGCAAAAUAUUUUAACUGUCAAGAUUUUAGAAAUAAUAGCAUUUUAUUUGAUGAAAAAUAUAUUUAGAAUGAAAUUCUAAAGAAUUUGAAAUUAAUCUCUUAGUUUAUUUUGCUACGAUUGCCAUCACCUAUCACCUAUCAUCAUUACCGUCGAUCACGAUGUUAGACCGGUCCCCUCCUUGGACCGGUCCAGUCGGCCCAGCCCCCUGGGCCGGUUCGGCUUGUUUACAACAGAAGGGGCCGGCGGCUUCAAAGAGGUGGGAAAGGGUGGGGUCCUCUUGAUAUUCAAAUACAAUCGGAGAAGCAAGGGCGAUUAGAUCCUUUUGUAUUAAUUUUGAAUUGUAUGCAUUAAGUAGGGAGAAAAGGCUAGGGUUAGGGUUAUGUGAGAUUUUUCUUAAAGUUCUCUUGGGUUUUUUUGUGGCUAAGGCUCUAGAUUGAUAUCUAGAGAUUGGGAGAGUGUGAUUCUCCUCUCGAAUAGAGGAUCUCUUGUAUCUUUAUUGUUUUUCUUUCAUCUGCUAGUAAACUACAAGUUGUUUCUCCACUAUUUCUCUCAGAUUUGCUGUUUCUUCCACUAUUUUGCUGUCAUUUUCCGCUGUGGACAGUAGGUUUCAUUGAUUAUUGCUUCCAAAGUGGGUAUUUCCUAUCACACGACUGCCACCAAUUGCUAUAGAUUACAAUCAUCAUCGGCCGCCAUCAUUAGCCACCAUUGCUACCACCUUUCCCAACCUACCAAUUUGAAUUGAAUUGAAUAGAAUAGAAGGUUAAGCAUUUGAUAACUGUUGAUGGUAGCACGUAGCUCAUCUUGAUAGGACAUUUAGGCUAUUUAACACAAACUCGCAUACAUGGGUGAUGUUUCUCUUAUUCUGUCUCAUUAUUGCCAAAUUGAUUUUGUGGUUAAUGUCUGUUUCUAGCUAUCUUUUAAGUUUAUCUGCCUCCCUUGUAGUCUCUUUUUUUGCAGCUUCAAGAGUUGGAUUGUCACUAGGUUCGUCGUCUCGAUUCUGCAUCAUUUUUUGGGCUCUAGUGGUUUCAACCACAAUUUUGCCAGGAAGAUCGGGUUCAUUCUUUAUCCUAUCCUCUUCUAUUUUUGGGUGCUGUCAUCUUGCAGCCCUAGCAUGUUAUUAGGUUUUUUUGUUACUCUUAGAUUUAGGAACCAUCAGCUCAUAGGUUUUUUUCUUUUUGACUUUGUAGCUCUGACGAGCAUUAGAGAGCUGAAGGUUCUUAUUAAGGACUUUGUAACCGGUUUUUUAUAUUAACGCGUAGGCCCCUCUAUGGGUUUUAACAAAAAAAAAAAAA
Dendrobium catenatum is the source of this 1856-nucleotide long non-coding RNA. RefSeq lists it as uncharacterized. NCBI's taxonomy places the organism in Eukaryota, Viridiplantae, Streptophyta, Magnoliopsida, Asparagales, Orchidaceae. The transcript has 2 exons. The record is from RefSeq and is a predicted model, not a curated record.